GUCAGCAGCCAUAUCACUCUGUAACUCACAACUGGCAACCCACUGAAGCUCAGCAGGUGUGAGCCAGAUCAGUACCUGGAUGGGAGACUUCCCGGGAAAAACUAAGGUUGCUGCUGGUA
This 119-nucleotide ribosomal RNA is filed under the name Lepisosteus oculatus (spotted gar). The record is from RNAcentral. Lineage: Eukaryota; Metazoa; Chordata; Actinopteri; Semionotiformes; Lepisosteidae.